This 253-nucleotide ribosomal RNA is filed under the name uncultured bacterium. RNAcentral's name for it is "partial 16S ribosomal RNA". It matches the Rfam family "Bacterial small subunit ribosomal RNA", at positions 524 to 776 of the family's 1533-position model. The record is from RNAcentral.
CACAGAGGGGGCAAGCGUUCCUCGGAUUCACUGGGCGUAAAGGGCGCGUAGGGGGCCUCGCAAGUGUUGUGUGAAAACCCAGGGCUAAACCCUGGAAGGGCACUGGACACUGUUAGGCUUGAGUUCGGUAGAGGAGCGUGGAAUUCCAGGUGUAGCGGUGAAAUGCGUAGAUAUCGGGAGGAACACCGGUGGCGAAGGCGGCUCUCUGGGCCGAAACUGACGCUGAGGCGCGAAAGCGUGGGGAGCAAACAGG